UAAGCAUAUCAAUAAGCGGAGGAAAAGAAACCAACAGGGAUUGCCCUAGUAACGGCGAGUGAAGCGGCAACAGCUCAAAUUUGAAAUCUGGCUCUUUCAGAGUCCGAGUUGUAAUUUGCAGAGGGCGCUUUGGAGUUGGCAGCGGUCCAAGUUCCUUGGAACAGGACGUCACAGAGGGUGAGAAUCCCGUACGUGGUCGCUAGCCUUCGCCGUGUAAAGCCCCUUCGACGAGUCGAGUUGUUUGGGAAUGCAGCUCUAAAUGGGAGGUAAAUUUCUUCUAAAGCUAAAUACUGGCCAGAGACCGAUAGCGCACAAGUAGAGUGAUCGAAAGAUGAAAAGCACUUUGGAAAGAGAGUCAAAUAGCACGUGAAAUUGUUGAAAGGGAAGCGCUUGCAGCCAGACUUGCCUGUAGUUGCUUAUCCGGACUCUUGUCCGGUGCACUCUUCUAUAGGCAGGCCAGCAUCAGUUUGGGCGGUUGGAUAAAGGUCUCUGUCACGUACCUCUCUUCGGGGAGGCCUUAUAGGGGAGACGACAUGCAACCAGCCUGGACUGAGGUCCGCGCAUCUGCUAGGAUGCUGGCGUAAUGGCUGUAAGCGGCCCGUCUUGAAACACGGACCAAGGAGUCUAACAUCUAUGCGAGUGUUUGGGUGUCAAGCCCAGACGCGUAAUGAAAGUGAACGGAGGUGGGAACCCUUUGGGUGCACCAUCGACCGAUCCUGAUGUCUUCGGAUGGAUUUGAGUAAGAGCAUGGCUGUUGGGACCCGAAAGAUGGUGAACUAUGCUUGAAUAGGGUGAAGCCAGAGGAAACUCUGGUGGAGGCUCGCAGCGGUUCUGACGUGCAAAUCGAUCGUCAAAUUUGGGCAUAGGGGCGAAAGACUAAUCGAACUAUCUAGUAGCUGGUUCCUGCGA
This 909-nucleotide ribosomal RNA is filed under the name Paraphoma fimeti. Its description in RNAcentral is "LSU rRNA". It matches the Rfam family "Eukaryotic large subunit ribosomal RNA", at positions 35 to 963 of the family's 3401-position model. The record is from RNAcentral. Lineage: Eukaryota; Fungi; Ascomycota; Dothideomycetes; Pleosporales; Phaeosphaeriaceae.